This 229-nucleotide ribosomal RNA is filed under the name uncultured bacterium. Its description in RNAcentral is "partial 16S ribosomal RNA". It matches the Rfam family "Bacterial small subunit ribosomal RNA", at positions 568 to 796 of the family's 1533-position model. The record is from RNAcentral.
UGCGCAGGCGGAAUGAUUAGUCAGUGGUGAAAGCCCUCGGCGCAACCGAGGAACUGCCAUUGAUACUGUCAUUCUUGAGUACAGUUGUAGUGGGCGGAAUGUGUCAUGUAGCGGUGAAAUGCAUAGAGAUGACACAGAACACCGAUCGCGAAGGCAGCUCACUAAGCUGAAACUGACGCUCAGGCACGAAAGCGUGGGUAGCAAACAGGAUUAGAUACCCUGGUAGUCC